RNAcentral lists this ribosomal RNA (311 nucleotides) under uncultured eukaryote. RNAcentral describes it as "partial 18S ribosomal RNA". It matches the Rfam family "Eukaryotic small subunit ribosomal RNA", at positions 1470 to 1796 of the family's 1831-position model. The record is from RNAcentral.
CCCCUAGACGUUCUGGGCUGCACGCGCGCUACGAUAAUACGCACAGCGAGUAUCACCGAGCUCGAAAGGGCAAGGUAAACAAUAGAAAAGGUACUGUAAUGGUUAUAGAUCCUUGUAAUUAUUGAUCUUCAACGAGGAAUUCCUAGUAAGUAUGUGUCAUCAUCACGCACUGAUUACGUCCCUGCCCUUUGUACACACCGCCCGUCGCUCCUACCGAUUGGGUGAGCCGAUGAAACUCUCGGAUGUAGGCUAUUCAUAGCCCGCAGAAGAGAUUUGAAUCGUAGCGCUUAGAGGAAGGAGAAGUCGUAACA